GGGAAACCCUGACGCAGCAACGCCGCGUGAGUGAUGAAGGCUUUCGGGUCGUAAAGCUCUGUCUAGAGGGAAGAAAUGAUAUUGGGUUAAUACCCUGAUUUCUUGACGGUACCUCUGAAGGAAGCACCGGCUAACUCCGUGCCAGCAGCCGCGGUAAUACGGAGGGUGCAAGCGUUGUUCGGAAUUAUUGGGCGUAAAGCGCGUGUAGGCGGUUUGUUAAGUCUGAUGUGAAAGCCCCGGGCUCAACCUGGGAAGUGCAUUGGAAACUGUCAGACUUGAAUACGGGAGAGGGUAGUGGAAUUCCUAGUGUAGGAGUGAAAUCCGUAGAUAUUAGGAGGAACACCGGUGGCGAAGGCGGCUACCUGGACCGAUAUUGACGCUGAGACGCGAAAGCGUGGGUAGCAAACAGGAUUAGAUACCCUGGUAGUCCACGCCGUAAACGAUGAGUACUGGGUGUUGCGGGUAAUGACCCCUGCAGUGCCGCAGCUAACGCAUUAAGUACUCCGCCUGGGAAGUACGGUCGCAAGACUAAAACUCAAAGGAAUUGACGG
Molecule: ribosomal RNA, 551 nt
Filed under: uncultured bacterium
Lineage: Bacteria
Description: bacterial SSU rRNA
Rfam family: Bacterial small subunit ribosomal RNA
Source: RNAcentral